AUUCCGUGGUGUGGACACGCCAGAAUGUACUCCUGAAGUCUCUCACAAGCUUCAGGGAUUAACUCAUUUGAUGCCUACUGGAAGUUCGAAAUCCUUCUGCGAAGAGC
This is a small nucleolar RNA of Panicum virgatum (switchgrass), 107 nucleotides long. Lineage: Eukaryota; Viridiplantae; Streptophyta; Magnoliopsida; Poales; Poaceae. The record is from RefSeq and is a predicted model, not a curated record.